UAUUUUUUGUGUGAAUAGUGUUCAGCACCAAGGACAGGUGUGUUCAUCUGAGUGUGCGUGGUGUUCAGCACCAAGGACAGGUAUGUUUUGUG
Molecule: microRNA precursor, 92 nt
Filed under: Branchiostoma floridae (Florida lancelet)
Lineage: Eukaryota; Metazoa; Chordata; Leptocardii; Amphioxiformes; Branchiostomatidae
Description: mir-2060 microRNA precursor family
Rfam family: mir-2060 microRNA precursor family
Source: Rfam by way of RNAcentral